UUAACUUUGCAGGGUGCCAUCACCAAAAGGAUGACAACAAUUGAGGAAAUGGCAGGAAUGGAUGUUCUCUAAUGUGACAAAACUGGAACUCUCACUCUCAACCAUCUUACCGUCGACAAAAACCUAAUCGAGGUACUUUUCUUAUCCUAA
RNAcentral lists this ribosomal RNA (150 nucleotides) under Triticum aestivum (bread wheat). RNAcentral describes it as "partial small subunit ribosomal RNA". The record is from RNAcentral. Lineage: Eukaryota; Viridiplantae; Streptophyta; Magnoliopsida; Poales; Poaceae.